Non-coding RNA from Guyanagaster necrorhizus, 85 nucleotides. NCBI's taxonomy places the organism in Eukaryota, Fungi, Basidiomycota, Agaricomycetes, Agaricales, Physalacriaceae. The record is from the annotation of a RefSeq genome assembly.
GCAUUAAUGGGGUAGUGGUAACCUGGGUCGUUGCCAUUUAAGAGAAUAACUCGACCCGCCGGGGGUUCGAUUCCCCAUUAAUGCA